UACGUAGGGUGCGAGCGUUGUCCGGAAUUAUUGGGCGUAAAGAGCUCGUAGGUGGCGGGUCACGUCGGGUGUGAAAGCCCGGGGCUUAACUCCGGGUCUGCAUUCGAUACGGGUCUGCUGGGGUCCGGCAGGGGAGACGUGGAAUUCCUGGUGUAGCGGUGAAAUGCGCAGAUAUCAGGAGGAACACCGGUGGCGAAGGCGGGUCUCUGGGCCGGUACCGACGCUGAGGAGCGAAAGCGUGGGGAGCGAACAGG
This 254-nucleotide ribosomal RNA is filed under the name uncultured bacterium. RNAcentral describes it as "partial 16S ribosomal RNA". It matches the Rfam family "Bacterial small subunit ribosomal RNA", at positions 524 to 776 of the family's 1533-position model. The record is from RNAcentral.